RNAcentral lists this long non-coding RNA (460 nucleotides) under Brassica napus (rape). RNAcentral describes it as "long non-coding RNA (BNAP_LNC022121)". The record is from RNAcentral. Lineage: Eukaryota; Viridiplantae; Streptophyta; Magnoliopsida; Brassicales; Brassicaceae.
CUUGAUUGUCUAUAAAAUGGUUUUUAGAAAAACAAAAGCCAAAAACUACUUCAAAAACUGGAAACAAUCGACCUCUAAAUAGUAUCUCACUUAUAUCUCAAAUUUUGAAAUGUCUAUGAUUGAAUGGAAGUAGUUAAUGAUUUUCUCAAUGUCAACCUCAAUCUUCUAUAAACUAAACUAGCAACAAAUCUCUAAAUCUAAUACGAAAAUAUAAACCCUAACCUAAAUUUCAAAAUGUAAAAUUUGUAAAUACUAUUAUGAAUUCGGAAGCUACAUUAUGUGAUAUUAAACUGGACAAUGUACAACAAAAAUGUCAAUAAGAUGCAUUUCCAUUAUACACAAGACAUAUAUAAUAGAAACGGGAAAUGUAGUUGCAAUCUAAAGAACAUUUACCAUAUUUCUCAAAUUUUGAUUUGUCUAUGACCUUAUGGAAGUGGGUAAUGCUUUUUCUAGUGUCCAC